CUCAUAGAAGCUAUUGAUUAGGACCCAAUCCACUUUGUCAAGAUUUGAGAAUUGAUUGACCAACAUUUCAAGUAUUCUUUCUGCUUCAGGAUUAAUAACAAAAGUAGGUACAUCUGAACUCUCAAUUGUACAUGAUAAUCCAGGAAUUAAUAUUUCUUCAUCAUUUUUAGUAGGUGGAAGUUUUAUUAGCCCUUUAUGUACAUGGUAAUAAAUAUUAUCCACUGCACAAUUUUGUGUGAAAAAUGCAGCACUUACUAAUCCAAAU
Molecule: long non-coding RNA, 265 nt
Organism: Solanum verrucosum
Lineage: Eukaryota; Viridiplantae; Streptophyta; Magnoliopsida; Solanales; Solanaceae
Exons: 3
Source: RefSeq, a predicted model, not a curated record